RNAcentral lists this long non-coding RNA (950 nucleotides) under Papio anubis (olive baboon). RNAcentral describes it as "lncRNA (ENSPANG00000040794.1)". Lineage: Eukaryota; Metazoa; Chordata; Mammalia; Primates; Cercopithecidae. The record is from RNAcentral.
GGACAUAGAUGAAGCUGGAAACCCACAUUCUCAGCAAACUAACACAGGAACAGAAAACCAAACACCGCAUGUUCUCACUCACAAGUGGGAGUUAAACAAUGAGAACACAUGGAUACAGGGAGGGGAAUAUCACACACCAGGGUCUGUCCUGGGGUGGGGGCCUAGGGGAGGGGUAGCAUUAGGAGAAAUAACUAAUGUAGAUGUUGGGUUGAUGGGUGCGGCAAACCACCAUGGUACGUGUAUACCUAGAUAACAAACCUGCAAGUUCUGCACAUGUAUCCCAGAACUUAAAGUAUAAAAAAAAAUUACAUAAUUCAAAAAUAACGUUGUUAUUCUUAAGCCUUCUAUAAUAUUGUAACUUGUGUAUAUCCGUACCUGGAUUUGGGUUGAAAUACUUAAUCAUCUUUCCACUGGAAAUAACAGGGAGUGAAAAAGUUUUUGUUGCUUGUACAGUGUCAGAUGAAGAACAACACUAUCUUAAUUUUGCAAUAUACUGCAUUUGCUGGUGCUAUUUUUACAUGUGAAGCAACAGCUUUGCAGCAAAAUAAUAAAAUACUUUUUCGUUAAAAAAAAUAGCAAAACUCCAUCUCAAAAAAUAAAGUUUAGAAGAAUUUCUGGCACAUAAUGGUAUAAAAUAUGACCACCAAUUUACAGUGCUCUUUAAAUCUUAUGAAGGACUUUCAACUAUAUUAGCUCAUUUUAAUCACACAAUAGCACUUAGUGUAUUUAUUACUAUUUCAAACUUACAGAUAAAGAAGCUGAGACUCAGAAAGGUUAAGUGACUUUCCAAGAUCAUAUAGCUUAAAAGUGGCAAAAGGAAUGCUCAAACCCCAAUCGUCUGACUGCGAACUCUGGAUAGGAAUGGAGUAUUUGUUUUAUUGGAAAGGAGCAUCACUAGAACCAGAUGCAUGUGAUUCCUUGAAAUAUGGAGUCUUUUUGCUGUUUCUGCA